RNAcentral lists this ribosomal RNA (498 nucleotides) under uncultured bacterium. RNAcentral's name for it is "partial 16S ribosomal RNA". It matches the Rfam family "Bacterial small subunit ribosomal RNA", at positions 30 to 523 of the family's 1533-position model. The record is from RNAcentral.
AUUGAACGCUGGCGGCAUGCUUUACACAUGCAAGUCGAACGGUAACAGGCCUUCGGGCGCUGACGAGUGGCGAACGGGUGAGUAAUGCAUCGGAACGUGCCCAGUCGUGGGGGAUAACUAUCCGAAAGGAUAGCUAAUACCGCAUACGAUCUGCGGAUGAAAGCGGGGGACCUUCGGGCCUCGCGCGAUUGGAGCGGCCGAUGUCAGAUUAGGUAGUUGGUGGGGUAAAGGCGCACCAAGCCAACGAUCUGUAGCUGGUCUGAGAGGACGACCAGCCACACUGGGACUGAGACACGGCCCAGACUCCUACGGGAGGCAGCAGUGGGGAACUUUGGACAAUGGGCGCAAGCCUGAUCCAGCAAUGCCGCGUGCAGGAAGAAGGCCUUCGGGUUGUAAACUGCUUUUGUACGGAACGAAACGGCUCUGGUUAAUACCCGGGGCUAAUGACGGUACCGUAAGAAUAAGCACCGGCUAACUACGUGCCAGCCGCCGCAGUAA